Molecule: long non-coding RNA, 1283 nt
Organism: Saimiri boliviensis boliviensis (Bolivian squirrel monkey)
Lineage: Eukaryota; Metazoa; Chordata; Mammalia; Primates; Cebidae
Source: RefSeq, a predicted model, not a curated record
GGGGCCUCGGCCGGGAGGGAGGAGCGCUAGGAGGAAGAGGCCCGGCCGGGAGAGCCCCGGCCUCGGGAGAGAGCAGAGGGGGCCGAGCAUUUCCUGGGGCAUUCCCGGCCCGCCGGACUGACUCUCUCGGCCAAGGAAAUUCCCGGCCAGCCCCGACCCCCAAGCCGCUGUGGACCCAGAUGAGCCAGCUGACCGAAGCUGGCUGGAGCAUCACGUGGUCCAUCAGUACUGGACAGCCAGGCCCUCCCAGUUUUCUUAUAGCUUACAUUUGCACUCCAGUUUAGCUGCUAUCUGGGACCAUCACUUGUACAGCAGUGAUCCAUUGUAUGUUCCAGAUGACAGGAUUUUGGUUACCAAGACUCAAGUUAUUCUGGAAACCCUGUGAGCUGUUUACGAUCUGUGCUGGAACAAAUAGCAGCGUAUGGCCAGGUUGUAUUUCGACUCCAGGAGUUCAUUGAUGAAGUCAUGGGACACAGUUCUGAAAGCAUGCUGCCUGGAAGUGGGUCUGUUCCUAAGAAGUCACCUGAAGCUCCCUUUAGAACCUACCAGGCUUUCAUGUGAGCCCUGUACAUAUACUUCAUUGGUUUCAAAGAGGAACUUGCAGAAAUUGAGAAGUGCAUCAUCAAUAAUGGUGCUACAAUAACUCUUGCGAUAGUGGUGGACAAGUUGUCACCUCAAUUGGCUCAACUCAAGGUUCGCACAGAGUGUUCAGUACCAGAGUAGCAGAAGUUCCACCUGAUACUCAAAAUGUCUGGGCCUCUCACCUGCUCAAUACCCUGUACAAGGCCAUUCUCGAAUAUGACAAUGUUGGAGAGGCCUCUGAGCAAACCGUAUGUGAGACUUCUGCCUAAAGUGUGUGACUCCAUUCUGCACAGCAGAGGGGUGGGAGACAGCUGCUCAUGGUUCUGUGUUAAUGAUACUUGAAUGGUGACUUGUUGGACAGUUCAGAGUUUUCAAAUUAGCUUCCAAAUUUGAGGCUGUAGGAAACUAGCUUUUCAGCUCUAAUUGCCAAGAUCCUCAGAAGGAUGAGGCAAGGGCAAAGCAACAUGUUUCUCGAGAAAUACCUAGCUGAUGUGUAUAGACAUUUAUAAUAAUUCUUUCUUACAUAAAAACUAAGUCUAUUACAUGAAGUAUCUGAAGUAGUCAUAUUCACAGAAACAAAGUGGAAUGGUGGUUACCAAGGACUGAGGAAUAGGGAGCUGUUAUUUAAUGGGUACAGAAUUUCAGUUUUAUGACAUGAAAAGUUGUGGAGAUUUGUCACAACGAUGUGAAUGUACUUAAAA